This 254-nucleotide ribosomal RNA is filed under the name uncultured bacterium. RNAcentral describes it as "partial 16S ribosomal RNA". It matches the Rfam family "Bacterial small subunit ribosomal RNA", at positions 524 to 776 of the family's 1533-position model. The record is from RNAcentral.
UACGUAGGGUGCAAGCGUUAAUCGGAAUUACUGGGCGUAAAGCGUGCGCAGGCGGUUCUCCAAGUCCGUUGUGAAAGCCCCGGGCUCAACCUGGGAAUGGCAGUGGAAACUAGGGGACUGGAAUCUGGCAGAGGGGGGUGGAAUGCCGCGUGUAGCAGUGAAAUGCGUAGAUAUGCGGAGGAACACCGAUGGCGAAGGCAAUCCCCCUGGGCCUGCACUGACGCUCAUGCACGAAAGCGUGGGGAGCAAACAGG